UACGAGGGGGGCAAGCGUUGUUCGGAAUUAUUGGGCGUAAAGGGCGCGCAGGCGGUUCUCCAAGUCAGUGGUGAAAGCCCGGAGCUCAACUCCGGAACUGCCAUUGAAACUGUUGAACUUGAGGACGAGAGAGGUGAGUGGAAUUCCCAGUGUAGAGGUGAAAUUCGUAGAUAUUGGGAAGAACACCGGUGGCGAAGGCGGCUCACUGGCUCGUUUCUGACGCUCAGGCGCGACAGCGUGGGGAUCAAACAGG
Molecule: ribosomal RNA, 253 nt
Filed under: uncultured bacterium
Lineage: Bacteria
Description: partial 16S ribosomal RNA
Rfam family: Bacterial small subunit ribosomal RNA
Source: RNAcentral